RNAcentral lists this long non-coding RNA (200 nucleotides) under Theobroma cacao (cacao). RNAcentral describes it as "long non-coding RNA (TCAC_LNC001566)". Lineage: Eukaryota; Viridiplantae; Streptophyta; Magnoliopsida; Malvales; Malvaceae. The record is from RNAcentral.
GGUAUCACCGAGUAUGUGUUUUGGCACGAGCCAAAGUUUUAAGAAAUUCAUAAGCCAAGUUGAUUACUCGAUUUUUAUGGAUUGAUUUUAUUUGGUUGAAAUAAGUUGAAAGGUAAUGAAAUCACAAUAUGAUGAUUUAUUUUAAUUGUCUCCAUUUACUCGACUUUAGAUAGUUUAGAUGGUAUCUGUUUACUCACUGG